UUGCAGAUAGGUUUCUAAUACAGUCUUAAAGAAUUUGAAAGAAUACUUACCGGAAUGUUCAUAACCAGCAUCUGUGGAUCAUACAUAAAAAAUUAAUAAUAUAAUAAUAGGCCAUACAACUAGAAACACCGGCUCUUAGAAAAAAAAAACACAGGAAAAAAAUGGGACACCUAACCUUUUGGAAAAAGCAAUUAAUAUCUGCCUGUAGAGAAUCAAUACUAUGAAAAGUUGAGAAUGAUACUUCAGACCCACUGGAAGAAACAUUCAAGAAAUUAACGUCUAGACGAUUUUAAAAUCAACUUAAAUGGCUUCUGGAUGAUAUGCAUGCCUGAAUGUUGCACCAGAUUUGGAGCUUAGGGGCAGUUUUGCUAUCCGUUUUGAGCGAUCCUUUUGUUUAAGAUCUAUACUGUAGUGAAAGAUUUCAGUAUCACAAGCACCUGUAGAAUACAAAUAACACUAAAAAAAUAAGCUCAGUUAACAAAGAAGUCUCACAAUCCUUUUAAAACACAUUAUUAUAUCUUGAAAACACAAAACCGUAACAAAAUGGAACAAUCGAUAAGCUGUGAACUAUACAAUGCACUAGUUAAUAUUUUUGAAGUGGCCUAGUAUUAAUCUAGUACUGUAAACCUCACAGCAAGGUAACGUUGUCAAAACCUGUUCUACUGAAAUUUAAUUAAUCAAGGUUAACACAGGUAAAAUCAUAAGAGCAGUCUAGUUAUAUUGAAGAUUAGGUAAUGAUUCAACAGAUAUAAAAUUUCAUAAACAAAUGAAAAUACUGAUUUUGUUCAUUAUUAAGUUUUAUAAAGCUUCUUCUAGCAAUAGAGUUUCUUAUCAUGAUACUAGACAGGCUUCUAUAUCUAUAUUAUUUUAGAACACAUGUAGGUGAAUAGUGUAUCAAAACUAAUAAAUUGAUUGUGAUGUAUAUCAAGGCAUCCCAUGCUAAUAAUAUGGUGUGUAUACAGAAAAUAAAUGCUUCAGUUCCCCAAUUAGAAAAAAAAAAAAAAAAAAAAAAAAAAACAUUACAUAUUUACAUGUAAUGAUGCAAGAAGCCACUUUGAUUACAUAUAUACAGAUCAUAUGUUGAGAUUAAAUGACAACUAAGCCUAACAAGAACCGGGAAAGUGCAAGUUUUGUAACAUCAAGUUUGUAAGUGAACAAUACUUACUGGUUGUUGCAAUUGAUAUAACUCCAUCUGCAUAGCAUACCAAAGCUGCUCAUUAGUUGGUUAAUUUAAUAACACUGUGUGGUUUCUCGAGUUUCAAGUUAGAAUUUCAAAAAUUAAAAAAAAUGAAAAAAAUGAUCUGAAAGAAUACUUAACCACUUACUUCUGCACUCCGUUAGUGUUUUAAAACAAAUGACAGGGUAAUGAGUAAUGUGUAGUACGAUUAACACCAAAGGGCGUGAUAAGUUCGACUGUGGACACAUGGCAUAGUAGAAUCAUGCCUAGAUAGAUUACUUAGCUACAAACUUUGGUGCAUCCUGAUUGCUUAUUAGGGAUGAGAUCGGUACGGUACCGGUACCGGUAUCGGUACCGGUAUUUCGGUACUUUACCAUAUUGGUACCGCUUUGGUGUCAUCCAUUGUUUUACCUAAAUAAAUUUCAUGUGCAACACAUCCAUCCAUUAUUAAUUGAACUAGAGUAAUAUAUAUAGGAAUGUAAACAAAUGGUAAACACAUUAAGUAGUCAAAAAAAUCAAAAGGUAAACAUCCAUGGGUUCGACUUUUAACAUCCAAAUUCCAACAUGUCUAAAAAAUCAUCAUAAUUGAUUAAAAAUAACCAAACAAAAGAAAUUUGAUAUUGGUUUUUGUAAAACAAUGUUCUAGAAAAUAUAACUUCAUAGUGGGAUCUAAGAUAAUAGCAAAAUACAUAAGGUCAUUAUUAAAUUCGGUAUUAAUACCGGUAUUUACCGAAAAAUACCGGUACCGAUACCGUUUUUUGCCGAUACCGAAUUUCAAAAAAUCUAUUACCGAUACCAGUACCGUUUAUGAUCGGUACGGUACGGCAUCGGUACGGUACCGGUAUUUCGGUAAAAAAUCUCAUCCCUAUUGCUUAUCGAAGCAAAGCUUCAGGAUGUGUCCAAACAAGCAA
Molecule: long non-coding RNA, 2088 nt
Filed under: Helianthus annuus (common sunflower)
Lineage: Eukaryota; Viridiplantae; Streptophyta; Magnoliopsida; Asterales; Asteraceae
Description: hypothetical non coding rna
Source: RNAcentral